Oncorhynchus kisutch (coho salmon) is the source of this 1461-nucleotide long non-coding RNA. RefSeq lists it as uncharacterized. The transcript has 5 exons. The record is from RefSeq and is a predicted model, not a curated record. NCBI's taxonomy places the organism in Eukaryota, Metazoa, Chordata, Actinopteri, Salmoniformes, Salmonidae.
ACAGAGACCAACACCAUGAGACAGGAGCAGAUACCCAGUGUACACUCAGACCAUUUGGCUUGUCUGGCCAAAUGGUCAGACAAGCCAUCUUUAUCACACCUUAUGGCUUCUGGACUGAAUGGAGCAGGGCCCUCGAUCCGCAGUGCUCUCUGCCAAACCACCUGCCUGCUGCUGCCCUCCAGUGUACUGGGCCCAGCCCCCAUCCACCUGGACCUGCUUGAGCAGCUGUUGAGGACAGGCUGCACCUGGUGGCCGGGAGGAUGAGUGCCCUGGACGAAAACCAGAGAUGUCACAUAGCUGAGACACUGAUGCUACCCUCUGAGGGAUGGGAAGGGCCCUUGUCUUAUCGUUGUUCUACAGAAAGAUAACACUGACCUGCUUUGACUCCAUGCUUGAAAGGCAUUGCAGCUGCUGUGCUAUCUAUUUGAUGUCCUGUCUCCUGAUAGUCAUCAUGCCAUUGUACCACAGUAAUCUGAGUGAACCUUAAUUCUAUAGUGCAUUACCAAGAGGGCCAACCUAUUUUCUGGAAUUCUGUGCCAAUCUUUGAUUAUAAUCCAUUUGAUACAUUCCAAUACUGUAUAAAGAAAAUAUUUAUUUAAUUGGUUGUAGUAAGAAACCUUAUGUAACCCCCCAAAAGAAAAAGCUAUUUUCAUGUGAAGAAAAUAAAUACUGGUUCAUGUUUCAGUUAUUGCAAGAUUAUACUUGUCAUGGGGCAUUAAUCGUUGGAGUUUAGUGAACUAGAAGUACAUACCUUUAUUACUACCUUGGUUUUAAAUCCAUGAAACAAAUACUCAACACGUUUAAGAUCAAAAAUGGUUUUAAUUCCCAAGAUACAAAUUGUGAAUUCUGUAAACCAUUGCAUAAUGUUGCAGUACAAUUGAACAAGUUAAUGAUACUCUACAAGCAAAAGAUUCAAUACCUUCUACUUAUUUUUUUGUAAAAAGCCAAAUCAGGCCAUUCUUUGAUUCCAUAAAGAUCAACUUUAACACAGGGGAACUCCCAUUGAUCAUUUCUAUGGGGUAGUUGAAUACUAAUUCAAUAUACAAUGUCCUAUGUGUCCAUACUUUAACAAAAUAAGGGACAUGUUUCUCAUUCGUAAUACAAAUGUCUACUUCCAUCGACAUCAGCGUAAAUACAUCUAUGAACUACAGUUCAAUUAAAAACCUUUUAUCCUAGUCGUAACUGAAACCCUGAGAAAAUAAAAUGUAUUCCCCCCCCUUAAUCACUACACUGAUAAAUACAGAGACCGGAAAACUGCAUGUGUCUUACAUUUAUUUCAUUGCUAUACAAUUCACAAAACUAGAUGCUACAUCAUAGCUAACAGAUGAACUGCUCUCCAUUUUAUUCCAGUGACCUAUUAAAUAUCUCAUUUAGAACGGUACAUUCAAUAUUUCAGGGUUUCUAUGUUAAAUGAACAUUUUGAAAUUAACUAUUGGGAACAAUUAAAUGUUUUUAACAAAG